This 423-nucleotide ribosomal RNA is filed under the name uncultured Parabacteroides sp. RNAcentral describes it as "bacterial SSU rRNA". It matches the Rfam family "Bacterial small subunit ribosomal RNA", at positions 355 to 774 of the family's 1533-position model. Lineage: Bacteria; Pseudomonadati; Bacteroidota; Bacteroidia; Bacteroidales; Tannerellaceae. The record is from RNAcentral.
UGAGGAAUAUUGGUCAAUGGGGCGAGAGCCUGAACCAGCCAAGUCGCGUGAAGGAUGAAGGUUCUAUGGAUUGUAAACUUCUUUUAUUCGAGGGUAAAGUGAGGUACGUGUACCUUAUUGCAAGUAUCGAAUGAAUAAGCAUCGGCUAACUCCGUGCCAGCAGCCGCGGUAAUACGGAGGAUGCGAGCGUUAUCCGGAUUUAUUGGGUUUAAAGGGUGCGUAGGCGGAUUAUUAAGUCAGCGGUGAAAGCGUGUGGCUCAACCAUACAAUUGCCGUUGAUACUGUCAGGCUUGAAUGCGGAUGCCGUGGGAGGAAUGUGUGGUGUAGCGGUGAAAUGCAUAGAUAUCACACAGAACACCGAUUGCGAAGGCAUCUCACGAAUCCGCGAUUGACGCUGAGGCACGAAAGUGCGGGGAGCAAACA